Molecule: ribosomal RNA, 301 nt
Filed under: uncultured bacterium
Lineage: Bacteria
Description: partial 16S ribosomal RNA
Rfam family: Bacterial small subunit ribosomal RNA
Source: RNAcentral
CAGUAGCCGCGGGAAUACGUAGGUGGCAAGCGUUGUCCGGAAUUAUUGGGCGUAAAGGGCUCGCAGGCGGUUUCUUAAGUCUGAUGUGAAAGCCCCCGGCUCAACCGGGGAGGGUCAUUGGAAACUGGGAAACUUGAGUGCAGAAGAGGAGAGUGGAAUUCCACGUGUAGCGGUGAAAUGCGUAGAGAUGUGGAGGAACACCAGUGGCGAAGGCGACUCUCUGGUCUGUAACUGACGCUGAGGAGCGAAAGCGUGGGGAGCGAACAGGAUUAGAUACCCCUGUAGUCCCUGUCUCUUAUAA